Molecule: long non-coding RNA, 429 nt
Filed under: Brachypodium distachyon (stiff brome)
Lineage: Eukaryota; Viridiplantae; Streptophyta; Magnoliopsida; Poales; Poaceae
Description: long non-coding RNA (BDIS_LNC003739)
Source: RNAcentral
CGGGAGGCCGGGGACCCAGCCUAAAAGGAACAAACAUACUCUGAGAAAAGCACUCGUUCUCUGUUCUUCGAGAAAGGAUCCCUCUACCAAAAGCCAUGCCGAUCGAUCGACGGCUUGUGGUUGUGCGCUUGUGAACUUAUUACGAGGUUGUUUAGGUCUCAAGCUUCCACGUACUGGACAGACGCGGCUACCUGCAGCCCUUGUCCAGGGAAUAUUUGGCAAAAGUUGCCCCUGUGGUCUCUAUUCUCCAAUCCAAUGCGUGAACCUUUUCUUUUCUUUUUUUUCAUUGGGCUACAGAGAAAGGAAAGUAUGAUGAUCGUAUAAUUGACUCGACGGUAAUUUCUCAUCUGAUUCCAAGGGCUUCCGGUGGAUGCAAGCGGUGGAAGGCGGACGGGCCAUCAGACAUCAGUAGCGUCAAUGCGUGUGUGG